This 433-nucleotide ribosomal RNA is filed under the name uncultured bacterium. RNAcentral describes it as "partial 16S ribosomal RNA". It matches the Rfam family "Bacterial small subunit ribosomal RNA", at positions 29 to 507 of the family's 1533-position model. The record is from RNAcentral.
AACGAACGCUGGCGGCGUGCCUAACACAUGCAAGUCGAACGAGACCUUCGGGUCUAGUGGCGCACGGGUGCGUAACGCGUGGGAACCUGCCCUUAGGUUCGGAAUAACUCCCCGAAAGGGGUGCUAAUACCGGAUAAUGUCUUCGGACCAAAGAUUUAUCGCCUUUGGAUGGGCCCGCGUUGGAUUAGCUAGUUGGUAGGGUAAAAGCCUACCAAGGCGACGAUCCAUAGCUGGUCUGAGAGGAUGAUCAGCCACACUGGGACUGAGACACGGCCCAGACUCCUACGGGAGGCAGCAGUGGGGAAUAUUGGACAAUGGGCGAAAGCCUGAUCCAGCAAUGCCGCGUGAGUGAUGAGGGCCUUAGGGUUGUAAAGCUCUUUUACCCGGGAUGAUAAUGACAGUACCGGGAGAAUAAGCUCCGGCUAACUCCGUG